Molecule: non-coding RNA, 147 nt
Filed under: Synechococcus sp.
Lineage: Bacteria; Bacillati; Cyanobacteriota; Cyanophyceae; Synechococcales; Synechococcaceae
Also listed under: 1 other name
Source: RNAcentral
UGUGUAGUGUGGAGGACUGGUUUCAGCGGGGGUCAGCCGCUGAAGGAAACGGGGAAAGAACGGUGGAAAUCCGUCGCUGUCCCGCAGCUGUAACCCCCCGAGCUUCUCGGGGUCAGUCAGAACGCCCGCCAGGUCUCCAAACGACGC